GCAAAUUAAAAAGGGAUAAACACCAUAAAUGAGUGGCAUUGGUUGAAUAGUAUCACUUUGAGCUCUCUGUGCUGUUUCUUCCAAAUAUACAAAGCCUUAAUUAAAUGAAUUUUUGGCCAUUACAAAUUAGUUCUGAUAAGGGCUCCAAAAACUCAUUGAUUAAACCUUCAUGAAGAAUCAUUGAAAGGCACACUGUCAACGCCAGAAUGGAACACAUUUAGGGUACACAUGAAACAAGGAAUAAUGGUGGGAGAAUAGGGAUAUUAGAACGUUCCUACAGUGUGCAUUUAAAUUAAAAGCAAGCAAGUAACAACAUGCUGAAGGAACCCAGUGGGUCACGCAGCAUCUGUGGGAGGAAUGAAAUUGUUGACAUUUUGGGUCAAAACCCUACAAUAUCACCAAGUGAGCUCCUCCAGCUCUUGUUUCUUUUUCGCUCCAGGUUCCAGCAUCUGCUGUGUCUCGUGUCCCCGCUACACAACGCAAGCAAAAUUGUUUUUCAAGUCAGUUGUGAAGGCAUUAACAAAGAGCCUCAAAGCCUAUUGGUUCCUGUGGCCAGUCACUAUCCAGGGUGGUUGUGGUUCUAUCUAGGUCCUGAUCUGCAAUUGGCACUCAAACUACGUUGUUUUUGACAGUGGAUGAGUUCCCACUCCUGGAACUUGUCGGAUGACUGUUUUCCAACAUUCUCCAGGCGCAGCUUGGAAGAUGGAGCCUCCGGGGUGUAGCCCUGUGGACGACUGAUUCCAGGCCGGUGUUGCCGAAUUGAGGGUUUGCAGGAGAAGGAACAUCAGGAUUUCACUGCGGCUGAUGUAUGGAUAGAAGUCUCCAGCUGAGCAGUCAUAUUCAAAGGUCAAAUUUAACGUCAGAAAUGUAUGCAAUAUACAUCCUGAAAUGGUCUUUUCAUCACAAACAUCCACGAAAACAGAGGAGUGCCCCAGGGAAUGAACGACAGUUAAAUGUGAGAACCUGAAAAUCCCCCCCCCCAACUGCCCCCUCCCACAUGUAAGCGGAGCAACAAUCCCCCUCCCCCCACCAGCAAAAAAAACACACAUCGGUACCGUCACUGAGCCCAAGCGUGUGCUAAGCAAUAGCAAAGACACAGACUAAAGUUACCCCAAAGGCUUUGCCUUUCAUCCGAAAUUCGACAACCCACAGGUUCUCUCUCUCCCUGGCAAGGGAGAGGGAGGUGUCCCUCAUUUUCACUGCGAGUGGGAGAUAUAACAACAACCCGCUGGUUUAUGAUGUUAAAAAUCCGUUUCGUUGCUUUUUCCAAGCUCUGUGUCUGAAGAUCGCAAAGACCUCGGGUCUUCAGGCCUUCAGCAAAAAAUUUUCCAGUCUCCCCGACGACACAUGGGUCUCCUGCCGUGACACCGGCCCUCAAUCUGCCUGUCUCCAGAGCCCGAGAUCUUAGGCUUCCGAACACAAUCGAGAUUCUCAGGCCAAACCCUUGGCAUGUUGAAUAACAGCCAGUAGUGGAACCCCGAGAACAGGUCCCAUUCCCGCAAAGAACCGAAGCCUGCGUGUAACUCCAGAUCAGGGUCUUCAAAAGAACCCUGAAAGGGAAAAAUAAAGAUAUCAAAGGGAGAAAUAGAAGAUGCAAAGGAGUCUCCGUCAGGCGCCAUCAUUCCUCCUAAACUCUGCCUCCAUCACUCUCUCUUUCUCUUGAUGGGGGGAGGUGGGGUGAGUUUGCUGCUGAUUCUCACAUUGGGAAACUCUGAAUAAAAAAAUGGCACAGCAGAUUGUAACAUGAAAUAGCGAUUAAGUUUCCCCUUUUGCUGAAAUGGGUUAUAUCUCUCUGUUCUUUGUCAGUGAAAAAGAGAGGGCCGUUGGCAUGUCAAACUGUCGGGUAAACAAUAGUCUUUUGUUGACUGCAGAUCAUAGUCUCUCUGAGUGCUUUGCUGUUGCUGGGCGGGUGGUGGGCAUUGAUGCUUUUGUGCUGAAAUAGGUGGGGGAGAGGGGAAGGUUGAUGAUUGCUGCUGUUUGAGCGAGGAGGGGUGUUCUAACAUUUUUCUUUCUUUUGGGGUUCUUCUGUUUUUUGUGGAUUUCUGCUAAGACAAGUAUUUCAGAUUGUAUUCUGUGUAUAUUCUCUGAUAAUAAGUGGAACCAUUUGGAAGACCCACUUAGUAGGGUAUAAAAGAUGGGGUACAAUUCUAAGUUCAUAAAGGACUCUGCAUUAAAAUACCUGUCAAAACCCUCCAGCCUAAUCCUUUUUUUAAAAAAUAAAAGGUUCAAGUCAAAAUAUCAUCACAAAUAUGAAGACAUUAAAGACUGGGAAAUGAGCGAAAAAGAUGAAUAAUUGAGGAUUUAGUUGAAAUACUUUGGUCAAAAUUGUUUUUUCCCUCCAAUGGCCAGAAAUUAGAGAGAGAAUCAAUCUACCUUUAUGGAGCACUUUCAUAUCUUCAGAAUAUCCUAAAAUGCUUCCUGAAUGAAUUUACUUAUAAAAGAAAAAUCAUCUUCCACCACAUUGAUGAAGCCUUUGUUAAUGCUUCAUCUGAAAGAAAGCACUUCCAAAUAUGCAGUGCUCGUAUGAUUAGAAGAUGCAUUCAACUUGGAAUGAGGCCUCAAACCACAGAGUCCAACUUCGAGGCAAUUUUAUUACCAACUCAGCUUCUUGUUUUAUUCACUCAGUCACUUUAUUAGUUAUACCUGCUUGGUGAUGCAAAUAUCCCAUCAGCCAAUCAUGUGGCCACAGCUCGAUGCAUAAAAGCAUGUAGACAUAAUCAAGAAGUUGAGUUGUUCAAACCAAAUAUCAGAAUGGGGAAGAAAUGUGACUCAAGUGACACUGAUCAUGGAAUGAUGGUUGGUGACAGACAGGGUGGUUUGAGUAUCUCAGAAAUUGCUGAUCUCCUGGGAUUGACUGAUUUUUUAAAAAAACACAUCCGUUUACAGAAAUAAUGCAUAAAACAAACGAAAAAAUCCAAUGAGCAGCAGUCCUGCGGGUAGAAAUCCCUUGUUAAUGACAGAAGUCAGAGGAGAGUGGCCAGACUGGUUCAAGCCGACAGAAGGCCACAGUAACCACGUGUUAGAAAAGCAGUGGGCAGAGCAGCAUCUCUGAAUGAACAACAAGACGGACCUUGAAGGUGAAGCUUCGAGGAUGUGCACUUUUGGGAUGUAUCCUUGUGGAUGACUGGAUUCCUCACCGAUGUCGCCGACUGAAGCUUGGUGGAAGAUCAAAGCAUCGAGACAGUGGGCAUGGUUGUCAGAGGCCUCUGCACUCGAGCGAUCUCUCCCUUUCCAAUGGUGAGAUAGAGUCUGCUGAUUCUCACCUCAGGGGAACUCAAAUUAGCCAUGCUGCGGACUGCAACAUUGAAAUGGCGAGUUGUUGGUUUCCCCUUUCGCUGUGGUAGGAGUAUCUCCCUCUCUCCCUUAUUAGUUGGGGGGGGGUCCAUUGAUUUUGCAGUGUUGGGAUGGAGUCGAGAUCACAGUCUCUGGGGACGCUGUUGCUUUCAUGGUGGGUGGCAGGGGUGAUGCUUUUUGCUGGAUCGAAUGGUGGGAGGGAGGGUUGAUGUUUUGAUGCUGCCUGUGUGUGGGAGGGGAGAGGGGCCUUGGAGUUCUAACGUUGUCCUGUCAUUCAUUCUUUGGUUUCUUUUUCUCUCUGUUUCGUGGAUGUCUGCAUAGAGUAAGAAUUUCAGGUUAUAUACUAUAUAAAU
This is a long non-coding RNA of Hypanus sabinus (Atlantic stingray), 3647 nucleotides long. RefSeq lists it as uncharacterized. The transcript is spliced from 3 exons. NCBI's taxonomy places the organism in Eukaryota, Metazoa, Chordata, Chondrichthyes, Myliobatiformes, Dasyatidae. The record is from RefSeq and is a predicted model, not a curated record.